GGGACAGUAGCUUAGCCUGGGAAAGCACUCGGCUGAAGACCGAGUUAUCGCGAGUUCAAAUCUCGCCUGUCCCA
RNAcentral lists this transfer RNA (74 nucleotides) under Candidatus Iainarchaeum sp. RNAcentral describes it as "tRNA-Phe". It matches the Rfam family "tRNA". Rfam says of the family: Transfer RNA (tRNA) molecules are approximately 80 nucleotides in length. Their secondary structure includes four short double-helical elements and three loops (D, anti-codon, and T loops). Lineage: Archaea; Nanobdellati; Candidatus Iainarchaeota; Candidatus Iainarchaeia; Candidatus Iainarchaeales; Candidatus Iainarchaeaceae. The record is from RNAcentral.